UGCUUCAUGCGCCGGUUCUGAAACCAGACUUUGACCUGCCUUUCGGUGAGGUCCAGCAAGGCCGCGAUCUCGACGCGGCGUGGCCGGCACAGGAAAAGAUGAGUGAGGAUCUCCGCGUUGGAGGAAGAGGGAGUCGAAAGAGGCUUCCACUCUUUGAAAAAGACCCAAUGGUGGUUGGGCUUCGGGUCACGUGACACCUUCUUUGUGGCUCCGGAAGAGGAUUGUGAAGUUUAGGUUUCGUGGAAGAAACCGAUAAUUGAGGAAAAAAAAAAAUCAAGAUUUGGGGGGAAUUACCUACAAAGAUGUAAGGUGUGUUAAUUUGGGCGCUUCUUGGAUUCUACCCUGAGGAGGAGGCGCGUGGUGAGAGGAGAGAUCUUGAUCUGCCGCUCGCUGAGGUUCAGCAGGUUGGCCAUCUCUACACGGCGAGGCCGGCACAGGUAGCGGUUAAAAUGGAACUCCUUCUCCAGCUCCACCAGCUGCGCGCUCGUGUACGCCGUCCGCGCCCGCUUGGACGCCGCCGACCCCGGGGGGCUCUUGUCCCCUCCCCCGCCGCCGCCGCCACCGCCCCCGCUGCCACCACUGCCUCCGCCGCCGCCGCCACCGCCGCCGCCACCACAGCCCUCUGCUGGAUCCGAGGGGGAGGGGUGGGAAGGGGAGAAAAUGAAAUAAAAGAUAAUUACUGAACACGCCGAAAUUGAAUGCAUCGUUUCUUAAUAAAUCCAGGCCUGGACUCAGAGCCCCCGCCGCCCUCCCCUUCGGGUCCCCGCCGCCUCCUCACUCCCCCACCCCACCGCCCGUCGCAUUAGCGGACACUCUAUAAUAGUGGCAUUUAUUAAGAGACCUGUUCUCCUUUCGCUGCCCCAGCUUAUGAAAAUUUGAUCAUGUCACGCAGACAGAGCCGCAUGGCCAUUUAUUUAGGGCUGGAUUUUCGCGUGCGUGCUUUCUCCCCCUUAUCCCCAAUUCCAGGUCAGGGAAGACAUUU
This 982-nucleotide long non-coding RNA is filed under the name Homo sapiens (human). RNAcentral's name for it is "HSALNT0390386". The record is from RNAcentral. Lineage: Eukaryota; Metazoa; Chordata; Mammalia; Primates; Hominidae.